This 488-nucleotide ribosomal RNA is filed under the name uncultured bacterium. RNAcentral describes it as "bacterial SSU rRNA". It matches the Rfam family "Bacterial small subunit ribosomal RNA", at positions 8 to 518 of the family's 1533-position model. The record is from RNAcentral.
AGAGUUUGAGUCCUGGCUCAGGAUGAACGCUGGCGGCGUGCCUAACACAUGCAAGUCGAGCGAUUACUUCGGUAAAGAGCGGCGGACGGGUGAGUAACGCGUGGGUAACCUGCCUCAUACACAUGGAUAACAUACCGAAAGGUAUGCUAAUACAGGAUAAUAUAAGAGAUUCACAGUGUAUUUACUUAUACAAGCGUCCGGCGGUAUGAGAUGGACCCCGCGUCUGAUUAGCUAGUUGGUAAGGUAAUGGCUUACCAAGGCGACGAUCAGUAGCCGACCUGAGAGGGUGAUCGGCCACAUUGGAACUGAGACACGGUCCAAACUCCUACGGGAGGCAGCAGUGGGGAAUAUUGCACAAUGGGCGAAAGCCUGAUGCAAGCAACGCCGCGUGAGUGAUGAAGGCCUUCGGGUCGUAAAACUCUGUCCUCAAGGAAGAUAAUGACGGUACUUGAGGAGGAAGCCCCGGCUAACUACGUGCCAGCAGCUGC